CCCCUAGUAACUGCGAGUGAAGCGGGAAAAGCUCAAAUUUGAAAUCUGACUGUCUUUGACUGUCCGAGUUGUAAUCUAGAGAAGUGUUACCUGUGCUGGACCGUGUAAAAGUCUUCUGGAAUGAAGCAUCAUAGAGGGUGAGAAUCCCGUCUUUGACAUGGACUGCCAGUGCGUGAUGGUGCGCUCUCGAAGAGUCGAGUUGUUUGGGAAUGCAGCUCAAAAUGGGUGGUAAAUGCCAUCUAAAGCUAAAUAUUGGCGAGAGACCGAUAGCGAACAAGUACCGUGAGGGAAAGAUGAAAAGAACUUUGGAAAGAGAGUUAAACAGUAUGUGAAAUUGCUGAAAGGGAAACGCUUGAAGUCAGUCGUGUUGGCUAGAAAUCAGCCUUGCUUUUGCGUGGUGUACUUUCUUGUCGACAGGUCAGCAUCAAUUUUGAUCGUUGGAAAAGGUCUCUGGGAAUGUGGCAUCUUUGGAUGUGUUAUAGCCCAUUGUCAUAUACAGUGAUUGAGAUUGAGGAACUCAGCACACCGCAAGGCCGGGUUUCGACCACGCUUGUGCUUAGGAUGCUGGCAUAAUGGCUUUAAUCGACCCGUCUUGAAACACGGACCAAGGAGUCUAACAUGCCUGCGAGUGUUUGGGUGGAAAACCC
Molecule: ribosomal RNA, 647 nt
Filed under: Inocybe sp.
Lineage: Eukaryota; Fungi; Basidiomycota; Agaricomycetes; Agaricales; Inocybaceae
Description: LSU rRNA
Rfam family: Eukaryotic large subunit ribosomal RNA
Source: RNAcentral